RNAcentral lists this unclassified non-coding RNA (280 nucleotides) under uncultured fungus. Its description in RNAcentral is "sequence contains ITS1". The record is from RNAcentral. Lineage: Eukaryota; Fungi.
UAUAUAACUUUAUAGGUACAAAAUGACCUUUGCAUUUAACAUUCCAAACAAUUCUAGAGGUUUGUGAAAAUGACAUAGACCCAAAAAUACAAGGCAAAGCUGAACUUUUUCAUGCAGCAGUCCCAACUCGAAAAAUGAUUCAAUAGCUCUCAGGUCUACAAUAUGUGCACAGUGGGUAGAAAUAAAGAUGACAAGCGUGCACGUACCCAAAGGAAGGGACAGCAACAGCCUGUGCAAAUUUUAUUCAAUAAUGAUCCUUCCGCAGGUUCACCUACGGAAA